UGAAAAACUAGUUAAACUAUAACAUAAGAUUGUCAUUCUUAAAUUACCACAGUGUUUUUCAA
This 62-nucleotide transfer RNA is filed under the name Ornithodoros porcinus. RNAcentral's name for it is "tRNA-Asp". The record is from RNAcentral. Lineage: Eukaryota; Metazoa; Arthropoda; Arachnida; Ixodida; Argasidae.